GCGGAGGAAAAGAAACCAACAGGGAUUGCCCUAGUAACGGCGAGUGAAGCGGCAACAGCUCAAAUUUGAAAUCUGGCCUCACGGUCCGAGUUGUAAUUUGUAGAGGAUGCUUCUGGCGACGUGCCUUCCGAGUUCCCUGGAACGGGACGCCAUAGAGGGUGAGAGCCCCGUCCGGUCGUGCACCUAGCCUCUGUGAAGCUCCUUCGACGAGUCGAGUAGUUUGGGAAUGCUGCUCUAAAUGGGAGGUAUACGUCUUCUAAAGCUAAAUACCGGCCAGAGACCGAUAGCGCACAAGUAGAGUGAUCGAAAGAUGAAAAGCACUUUGAAAAGAGGGUUAAAUAGUACGUGAAAUUGCUGAAAGGGAAGCGCUUAUGACCAGACUUGGGCUCGGUGAAUCAUCCGGCGUUCUCGCCGGUGCACUUUGCCGUCCCAGGCCAGCAUCAGUUCGCGCCGGGGGAUAAAGGCUUCGGGAAUGUAGCUCCUUCGGGAGUGUUAUAGCCCGUUGUGUAAUACCCUGGCGUGGACUGAGGUCCGCGCUCUGCAAGGAUGCUGGCGUAAUGUCAUCAGUGACCCGUC
This 576-nucleotide ribosomal RNA is filed under the name Acremonium brachypenium. RNAcentral describes it as "eukaryotic LSU rRNA". It matches the Rfam family "Eukaryotic large subunit ribosomal RNA", at positions 50 to 653 of the family's 3401-position model. The record is from RNAcentral. Lineage: Eukaryota; Fungi; Ascomycota; Sordariomycetes; Hypocreales; Bionectriaceae.